ACUUUUCUUGACUCUUCAAAGGUCUUGGAAUAAGGGGUGGGUAAGGACGGUGCCAGCCGCCGCGGUAAUACCGGCGCCUCAAGUGGUAGUCGAUUUUAUUGGGCCUAAAACGUCCGUAGCCGGUUUGGUACAUUCGUGGGUAAAUCAACCAGCUCAACGGGUUGAAUUCUGCGAGCACGGCCAGACUUGGGACCGGGAGAGGUGUGGGGUACUCUCAGGGUAGGGGUAAAAUCCUGUCAUCCUGAGAGGACCACCUGUUGCGAAGGCGCCACACUAAAACGGAUCCGACGGUCAGGGACAAAGCCUAGGGGCACGAACCGGAUUAAAUACCCGGGUAGUCCUAGGUGUAAACGCUGUGGACUUGAUGUUGGGAGUGAUCCGAGCAUUCUCAGUGCCGAAGCGAAGGUGAUAAGUCCACUGCCUGGGGAGUACGGUCGCAAGGCUGAAACUUAAAGG
This 456-nucleotide ribosomal RNA is filed under the name uncultured archaeon. Its description in RNAcentral is "bacterial SSU rRNA". It matches the Rfam family "Archaeal small subunit ribosomal RNA", at positions 406 to 862 of the family's 1478-position model. The record is from RNAcentral.